This 440-nucleotide ribosomal RNA is filed under the name uncultured bacterium. RNAcentral's name for it is "bacterial SSU rRNA". It matches the Rfam family "Bacterial small subunit ribosomal RNA", at positions 52 to 507 of the family's 1533-position model. The record is from RNAcentral.
CACAUGCAAGUCGAGCGAAUGAAGUUCCUUCGGGAACGGAUUUAGCGGCGGACGGGUGAGUAACACGUGGGCAACCUGCCUCAUAGAGGGAAUAGCCUUCCGAAAGGGAGAUUAAUACCGCAUAAGAUUGUAGUACCGCAUGGUACAGCAAUUAAAGGAGCAAUCCGCUAUGAGAUGGGCCCGCGGCGCAUUAGCUAGUUGGUGAGGUAACGGCUCACCAAGGCGACGAUGCGCAGCCGACCUGAGAGGGUGAUCGGCCACAUUGGGACUGAGACACGGCCCAGACUCCUACGGGAGGCAGCAGUGGGGAAUAUUGCACAAUGGGGGAAACCCUGAUGCAGCAACGCCGCGUGAGUGAUGACGGCCUUCGGGUUGUAAAGCUCUGUCUUCAGGGACGAUAAAUGACGGUACCUGAGGAGGAAGCCACGGCUAACUACGUG